RNA transcript from Sceloporus undulatus (fence lizard), 6245 nucleotides. It is a transcript of the gene named terminal uridylyl transferase 4, with no coding region annotated. NCBI's taxonomy places the organism in Eukaryota, Metazoa, Chordata, Lepidosauria, Squamata, Phrynosomatidae. The record is from RefSeq and is a predicted model, not a curated record. The transcript is spliced from 29 exons.
GGCCGCUACCAACGGAGCAGGAGCAGGAGGAGGCCAUGGCCAUGGCCGGGGAGAGGAAGGCCGGGGCAGCCCGCCGGGGGUGACAGGCAGGGCUUGUUCUCUCAGCUGAGAUCACUUGCAAUAUUGAAGCUUCAUUAAGAAGAGACUCUGCAGUGAGACAAUCAGCCAGGCGCCUUGCUUGAACAGAGGAUUCUGCUCCACUCAGAUUGUUGCAAAAUUACAAUCCAAGUAGUCUGAAGCAAUAGACGAAGCAGGUCUUCUCAAUAAUGGAAGAGGGCAAGAGCUCAAAAAGUGGGAAUCAUGAUACAAGAAAAUCUGUCCAUACUACCUGUGAACAAAACAAAGCUGUCAGAGUUGCAACCAAUCAGAAUUAUAAAACUAAGAAAAAUGACAGAUCUGGAAAAGAAUCUGGAAAAAGUUCUUCAAGUGGGAGCAGUUUAAAAAAGAAUAAACAAAAUGAUGUUUGUCUUGAGAAGUCAGAAGAAAAUAAAUCAUGUAAGACAGACAGUUUUACUCCUGGAUGUAAAGAAAUGGGAUCAAGUCUUCAGGAUCAAAGUUGUAGCAAAGCAAAAAAAGUACCAAAUGUACCAGCAGCCACAGAAAAUCAGCAGCAGCUAAAAGUUCAGUUUAUAGAUGAAAACCCUCCAAGCUCCCAUGUUUCAGAGAAUGAUGCCAGCACAGAAACCUUACCAACUGCCCAAAGAGAAAGUUCUGAACUAGAAAAUGUGCUAAAAGAUAUAUCCAAAAUUAACAGGCCUAGUGAUUCAGACAAAACCAGUUUGGAUUUGAAAGCAGUGGCACAGCAACCAGAAGACUCCUGUAAAACAAAGCAUUCUGAUUCUGCUAAAGAAGCUAAUUCAGAGGCUAAGUAUUUAGAAAAUGUUGCUAUAACUGGUGAAUCAACACUAAUGGCAGAACAGGAACUUGGUUUGAAACAAGCGGAGGAACGACUGGAAAGAGAUUAUAUUAUCCGCUUGGAAAAACGCUCUCCAGAGUAUGCUAACUGUCAGUACCUAUGCAAGCUAUGCUUAGUUCACAUUGAAAAUAUCCAAGGAGCUCAUAAACAUAUUAAAGAAAAACGUCACAAAAAGAAUAUCAUGGAAAAGCAAGAAGAAAAUGAACUACGUGCUCUCCCUCCCCCUUCCCCUGCACAAGUGGCUGCCUUGAGUUUUAUGCUGAUGGAGGCAGCAAAGGAGCAAGGCAUAUCGAAUGAUGAUUUCAGAAUCCGUCAAGAAAUUGUAUGUGAUAUGGAGACCAUAAUACAGCAACACUUGCCAGAAUGUUCAUUGAGGAUGUAUGGAUCCUGCCUAACUAGAUUUGCUUUUAAAACCAGUGAUGUUAAUAUUGAUAUAAAAUUUCCCUCCACGAUGAGUCACCCAGAUGUUCUGAUUCAAGUGCUUGAAAUUUUGAAGAAUAAUGCUUCUUACUCUGAUGUGGAAUCAGAUUUCCAUGCCAAAGUUCCUGUUGUUUUUUGUAAAGAUAUUAAAAGUGGUUUAACUUGCAAAGUAAGUGCUGGAAAUGAUGUGGCCUGUCUUACAACUGACCUUCUAGCAGCGCUCGGCAAACUAGAGCCAGUCCUUGUUCCUUUGGUGUUGGCUUUUCGCUACUGGGCUAAAUUGUGUCAUAUUGACUGCCAAGCAGAAGGUGGCAUCCCUUCAUAUUCCUUUGCCUUAAUGGUGAUAUUUUUUCUUCAACAAAGAGAACCACGCAUACUACCAUCAUAUUUAGGCAAUUGGAUUGAAGGCUUUGAUUCUAAGAAGGCUGAUGAUUACCAGUUGAAAGGAAUAAAAGAUGAAAAAUUUGUAGUGUGGGAGUACAAACAAUCAAACAGUGGAGGAGGGAAAAAUGCUAGUGCUGCAGAAGGAAAAGCUAAAGGUGAACAGAACAGAGGUAAUAAGAGUGCAACAGCCGUAGAAACAGACACCCAGCAUAAUGCAAAGGAGAAAAAUGGCAGUUCUCCGUUAGCAUUGGAAACACCACACCAGAUAUCAUUGGGAAAGCUGUGGCUAGAAUUGUUGAAGUUUUAUACACUGGAAUUUGCUUUGGAAGAAUAUGUUAUCAGCAUACGGGUACAAGAACUUUUAACCAGAGAGAACAAAAUCUGGCCUAAAAGGCGAAUAGCCAUUGAAGAUCCUUUUGCACUAAAAAGAAAUGUUGCACGGAGCCUGAACAGCCAGAUGGUGUUUGAGUACAUACUUGAGAGGUUCAGGACAGCAUAUAAGUAUUUUGCGCGUCCACAGAAAAAAGAUGGGAGUAAGCCCAAACCAGACACCAGGAAAAAAGAAAAAGGAAAAAUUGGUAGCAAAAACCCUGGAGAACCUGCAACCAAUUGUUGCCUUUCACAGCAGGAUAAUAUUACAGAGAAGCAGAGCGCAGGCUGUGCAUGUAAUAUACAAGAGUAUGAGUUAAAUGAAUGUAGUGAAAUGGAAUCUACAUCCAGGAGAUGUACUUCUGAGAACCUAAAAAGCUCUCUGGUAAAAACACCAGAAAUUCUAAAUGCAAACUGUGACAGCAGAGAGGAAACUGUAUCCCAUAUUGCUAAUGAAUGCUGUGAAUUAGAACACAAGUCACUUAAGGCAAUGGAUGAUCAAGAGCCUGCAACUGAAGAAAAUUGUGUUUUUAGUGAAGAUAGGUCCCUUGAUGCAGAUUCUGUUAGUGAAUUAUCUGACACUGAAAGUAGACAUUCGGUAAUGGAAUAUCCACAAAAGAAUAUGUGCUCAGGCACUAGCACAUCAGCUACCUCGCACAACUGCAAAGCAGUAGGAGAAAUUCAAGACACUAAAGAUGAAAUUGCCACAGAAGAUAUGCAUUAUGUGUUUGAUAAAUUUAUUUUGACUUCUGGAAAGCCUCCAACAAUAGUAUGCAGUAUCUGCAAAAGAGAUGGCCAUUCCAAAAAUGACUGCCCGGAAGAUUUUAAGAAAAUUGACCUAAAACCACUACCACCAAUGACAAGUAGAUUUAGAGAAAUACUUGAUCUAGUGUGUAAAAGGUGCUUUGAUGAAUUAUCACCUCCUUUCUCAGAGCAACAAAAUCGAGAGCAGAUUUUGGCAAGUUUGGAAAGAUUUAUUCGAAAAGAAUAUAAUGACAAGGCCAGGCUAUGCCUGUUUGGUUCUUCAAAAAAUGGAUUUGGAUUCCGUGACAGUGACCUGGAUAUUUGCAUGACACUGGAGGGCCAUGAAAAUGCAGAGAAAUUAAAUUGUAAGGAAAUUAUUGAAAAUUUGGCAAAGGUUCUUAAGAAGCAUCCAGGUUUAAGAAACAUCCUGCCUAUAACUACAGCCAAAGUGCCUAUAGUAAAAUUUGAGCACAGACGAAGUGGUUUAGAAGGAGAUAUCAGUUUAUACAAUACACUGGCACAACACAAUACAAGGAUGCUUGCAACAUAUGCCGCCAUUGAUCCAAGAGUGCAAUACUUAGGAUAUACAAUGAAAGUUUUUGCAAAGCGCUGUGAUAUUGGAGAUGCAUCCAGAGGGAGUCUCUCUUCAUAUGCCUAUAUCCUUAUGGUGUUAUAUUUCCUACAACAAAGAGAACCACCAGUAAUCCCAGUUCUUCAAGAGAUAUUUGAUGGACAACAGAUCCCUCAGAGAAUGGUUGAUGGGUGGAAUGCUUUCUUCUUUGAUGAUACUGAAGAACUGAGAAAACGAUUACCCUCUCUUGGGAAAAACACAGAAUCACUGGGAGAACUUUGGUUAGGGUUACUGCGAUUUUACACUGAAGAAUUUGACUUCAAGGAAUAUGUCAUCAGCAUUCGGCAGAAGAAACUGUUAACUACAUUUGAGAAACAGUGGACAUCCAAAUGCAUUGCUAUUGAAGAUCCUUUUGACUUGAAUCAUAACCUGGGUGCAGGAGUUUCCAGAAAAAUGACCAAUUUCAUAAUGAAGGCAUUAAUCAAUGGGAGAAAACUAUUUGGUACUCCUUUCUGUCCAGUCUUGGGAAGAGAAGCUGAGUACUUUUUCAAUUCUAAAGUACUGACUGAUGGAGAACUAGCACCUAAUGACAGAUGUUGCCGUGUCUGUGGCAAAAUUGGUCACUACAUGAAGGACUGCCCCAAAAGGAGGAGAUUGAAGAAAAAGGAGAAUGAGAGAGAAGACGAAAAAGAAGUAAAGGAGGAAGAUAGGGAGACCAGAGAAAAGAGAUGUUUUAUCUGUGGUGACGUGGGACAUGUUCGAAGGGAUUGUCCUGAAUUCAAACAGACUAGACAAAGAAGUAAUGGUGUUCAAGUUCCACCUUUCUCCAGAAGGCCUAGGUGGGAGUGUGGCCUGUUCAGUACUUUCAACACCCAGUACCCUGUCAGCCUUCCCUGACAGAAGGAACAGGCAUCGAACUUCACCUGCUGCCCUUUUCAAGGGAUAAUCACAAUAUUCCUCCUCAUUUAUCAGUGGAUUUGGAAAGUAUACAGUACCAUCUUCCUGGACAUUGCAGUAUUUGUAUUUAUUUGUAGUAUUUAUAAUAUAUUGAAAACCAUAUAAUGCAAUACUUUAAUUUUAUUUGACCCUGGGUUUUUUUUUCCAGUGAAGCAGUGGCCUUUGAUAGAAAAAAGAUGCAACAUCCCUCUCCCAUUUUGGAAGAAUUGCCUCACCCCCUACUGUUGGAUCUUAAUCUGUUCAGUUUGGAACACCUUCACUUUAGUGCUUCCCUAUUCACCUAGAAGCAUCAGUGAAGCUACUCAAAGAGGCAUUUUCUUAUUAACCACUCUCAGUAUCUUGUCAUCUUGAGGUCUAGCAGAAUUUUUAAACCCUAGGCUUAAUGUAAGAUCUUUCAAAAAGCUAAGACUUUUUGGUAGUGGUAUGGCCAUGCUCCCUAACUUGAGUAGGUACCUCCUUAUCUUUUUUGCAUGGAAAAAGUUAGUUGGGAGCUGGCUCACUGUACUUUGCUCUUCCUUUUCCUUCUCCACAUAGGGAAAGUAAGGGAGAAAUGAAGGCAGUCACACUUGUAAACUGGAUGAUUGAUGAGGUUGGGGGUCUUGGAAGGCUGGCUGAAUGUGCCAGUGCACCUUCCUCUCACCUUUAAGUUAUAAAGAAGUUGAGAGAGGAAUGAAGCUGGGUAUCCUGAAGGCAAGUGGGAAGUGUGACUAGACCCCAUAGAUCCUGUGCUUACCUCUUUUUCCUUCCUUAGUCUGCAAAUCCCUAUAGGCUGUGGUGGUCUGGAUUAUGCUAUUGAGAGGAGAGUGUCCCCUCCUUUGUUUUAAGAGUAUUUGCCUUCAGUCCAAGUGAUAGUUCUGUUAGAAGUUAAAGUAAUUAUUUUAUAUUGUAUUGGUUUGAGUCUUACAAAAUUUUCAAAAACAAAUGUCAGUUUAUUCAUUGCAUACUGUAAUCCAAACCAGUGGAUUAGGCACCGCUGAAAAUAAUGGACCUUAUUUCUGAGUAAAAAUGCAAAGAAUUUAAUUGUUAAUCUUUCCUUUCAUUUUUAUUACCAAUGAUCCAAUCAUUGUUUUAUUUAUUUUUAUUACUGUUAGUCCUUUAUUACCAGACACACAGAAGCAAAUCCUGCUUUUCAUGGGCCCUAAUCCUAUGCUCUUUAGAACUUUAAUUAUAUAAUUUAGCUACUAACUUUUUCCUUAUAUUUUUAGCCCCUUUCCCCUAAGCAUCCUUGCACGCUCUCUGGCACCAAUUCCUGGCCACACCCAGUACUUAUGCACCCCCCACCCCGGAAUACUAUGAUGUGCCUCACUCAAGCAACUCAUGUUAUAACUGGUAUUUUCAGAAGUUUUCUUUCUUCAGUCAAUAAAAUAAAAAGGGACAUCUACUUUGAAUAGCACUUUAUUGCAAGAAAACCUCCCAUUAUAGUCAAACUAAGAAAAUAAGGCAUUCAUUUCUCUGCUAAAUUAUGAGUGAUCUCUAGCUAAGAUCUAAAGAGAAGAACAGGUAUUACUUCAGAGCUAUAAACAUAAGUGAACUGUUCCUGGUUUUGGUACUACAGUUACUACUGUAGAAAAAAAAUACUGAGUUAUAAAAAAUAGCUUAUCUCUGACAGAGGGCAUUGUUGCAAAAAAACCUGAGUAAAUAAAAUUCUAGCUGUGCAUAAAUCAUUGCUUUGGACCACAACAUACUUGGCUGCUUUGUCUAUAUUCAAAACACAUGUUCUGUAUAUUUUAUUUAGCUGCUCCAUUAGUCCGAAGCCUUGUAAACUCACAGCCAGUAACUGGAUCAAUUCCGCAGCAGGUGGAAAGACCUUUGCGCACUAGACAGCCAUCAGAAUGUUCUGAUUCUCGACAGUCAUCUUACUCUCCACAGCCUCAGCAAUUUCCC